This 207-nucleotide ribosomal RNA is filed under the name uncultured Smithella sp. Its description in RNAcentral is "partial 16S ribosomal RNA". It matches the Rfam family "Bacterial small subunit ribosomal RNA", at positions 568 to 774 of the family's 1533-position model. The record is from RNAcentral. Lineage: Bacteria; Pseudomonadati; Thermodesulfobacteriota; Syntrophia; Syntrophales; Smithellaceae.
CGUGUAGGCGGCUGAAUAAGUCAGAUGUGAAAGCCCUGGGCUUAACCCAGGAAGUGCAUUUGAAACUAUUCGGCUGGAGUAAGGGAGAGGAAAGUGGAAUUCCUGGUGUAGAGGUGAAAUUCGUAGAUAUCAGGAGGAACACCGGCGGCGAAGGCGACUUUCUGGCCCUAUACUGACGCUGAGACGCGAGAGCGUGGGUAGCAAACA